Molecule: small nuclear RNA, 139 nt
Organism: Nycticebus coucang (slow loris)
Lineage: Eukaryota; Metazoa; Chordata; Mammalia; Primates; Lorisidae
Product: U4 spliceosomal RNA
Exons: 1
Source: RefSeq, a predicted model, not a curated record
AGUUUUGCACAGUGGUAGUAUCAUAGCCAAUGAGGUUUAUUUGUGGUGCAAUUAUUGCUAAUUGAAAACUUUUCCUAAUACCCUGCCACGAGCAUGUGAAAGAUAGUUGGCAUUGGCAAUUUUUGACAUUCUCUUAAGU